ACUUUUUGGCAGUAUGUACAUUUGUGAACAACUAUUUUCAAGGAUGAAUCACAGGAAGAGUAAAAUUUCAUCAGAAUCUCUGAUGAACACCUUGAGAGCUCAUUAACAAUUGCAGCCUCUUCCACUGAACAAAACUGAUGCAUUAUUUUCACAAAAACAAGAUGAUUUUGAAUUAUUGAAACUUCAAUCAAGCCCAAUUGUAAUACUUGACCUUACAGUGGACCAGAAGAAACCCAGAUCAGAGCACAGCCAAGAAUUUAAGAAAGAUAAAAGAGCAUUGAGAUGGCUAGAUGAUCACUUGGCUCUGGAAAUUUGACGUAUGAAGAGAACAGUAGUGUGAAGCCAUACAAACAGUGGGCAAAGCUGACAGAGAGGCUGGGGUGGCAGAACUGAAGUUGGCGGUACUGCUGCCAGGUGCACGGCACACAACUUGUGGUUGGACAGCCAGGCCAGAAGCUCUGAACAAAGACCCAGGUGCUGCUCAGAAACAGUGAGGCAUUCCUGCUCAAUGUUCUGGCUGCCCACCUAAUGAAGAGCAGUGAAUUGAAAAUGAAAUUGCUCAUGGUUGGAGUACUUUUGUGGAAAUGCAUCCCUUCAAAGUUCAGAGUCAAGAAAGAUGGUGCUGGAAAAGGAAAGCCCGGUAUGCUGGAAAGGAGCAGCUGAGGUGGUAACUGUAGUGCUUUGGACAAGCAGUCAUCUCUUGUUGUGGAGACUGCCGUGGCUUGGCACUGGAAGGAAGGAAGGUCUUGUUGGCACCAGGUGGGGACACCGAGACACAGGGCUGCAGCAUGAUUAGCCCCAUGGUUUUCAGCAAAGCAUGAGGACAGCAUGUGGCUGCACCAGUAGUGAGGACCUUCUGGUCUCUUCUUUGCUACCAUCUUGCAACCCUUCCCAAAGCGUGCUGCAGGCCCAGCUCCAAUGCUUCAUCAAGAUCCAGGAACUCCCAGAGCUGCCCACGGUCAUGUCACACAGGUUUACACAGGCUUUCCUGGCCUUGCUGCAAUGAGCAGGACUGAAGUGGAAAGUGAUGAGCCUGCUGAGGUCGUCUGGAUGCAGUGAUGUGAAGAGGCAGUAGUUUUCCAGGCUGAUAUUCAGUCUGGAGCCGUAGCACUGAUGCUCCAAGACUGUCACUUCUUUGUGAAACUAUGACUGCUAAAAAGAAACAUUUAUUUUCUUCAUUUGCAAGGCUGUGAAAACACACUCACCUUCCUGCGGACGUGUGCGGAGCAGAGGUGUCAGCUCACCCCAUGCAGCCUGAUGUGGACUACGUCAGUGUGGUCACCCACCCCCUGGAUGAGGUAGUCCUGGCUCCUUCGGGUCAGGCCUCGCAGUACAAAGGCUGCAGAGCUGCAGAAAGGGAGAAGACAAGGAGGGCUGCGCCUGGCCUUUAUCUCUUGCAUGCUUUGGCCCCAUGAAGAACUCCAGCAUGUCUGCCUGGUGAACAACGAGUUGAAUGCCUGGUGAUGUCCAGUGAGUCAGGAACAACCCACAUUGAGGAGUAAGGAGACAUUAACAUACUGGUCAUCAGCUGAGCAGAAGAUACUGAUGGAGAUGCUUCUUUAUGCAAGCACGACGGCAAGCUCCCUUCCAUUCUAUUGAGAAGAUAAUGCAUGAUAGCGAUGUGAAUGUGUUGCUGUCAUGAGCUAAGUGCUGACUUUUGUCCAUACCAAUGGUAACGAAGGGUUACAGAAAUGCUGAAACUCAAAAAUAUAAACACAAAUAUCAGACCUCCAGCCCUCCCAUAGGGCAUUUCUAAUUGUCAAGUGAAGGGAUGGGAAUUGCUGUGAUAAAUGUCAUGUAUCUUAUGGGUUGUUACACAACAGUGGUGGGGGAAGAGGGAAGGUGCAGAAAGGAGAAAGCUGGAACUACUCAUACGUACUUGGUAAAAAUAACAUGCCGUUUGAUUAGAAGUGUGUUUUAAACAUAUUAUUUGAAUAUGUAAGGAGUUAUGUUGGUCCUGAAAGUACCUGAUGACUAUCAUGCUGCUACGAAGGCAUUGUACCCACCAAUGCUUGGCCUCUGUGACAUUACCAUUGGGUUCAAUGACAAGCAGGGCAAGACCAGGUGGGCAGGAUGGGACUAACCAUGCUCAGGGAGCUAUAACUCCACAGAAUGAUCAUGCAGUGUUCUUACAUAUGAUGGAUGUGGUAAAUGACAGCAGUUUUGUUAACACUGCACUCUACUGCAUAUCUGGCACAAGAGUUAACAUGGGCUAGCACCAAAAUUUGCAGUGUCAUGGGUGGUGAGUAUGCACCCUUCAAAGCCUCCUGUACUGUGGGAACUUUCAAUGGUUUAACCUAAAACAAGUGUCAUGCUGAGAAAAACUCUGUGCAAGCACUUGGUUUCAGUUUAAACACCAUUUAUUUUGAAGUCACCUCUGGGGGUGGAAAGGUGCUUUUUGUUGUUUGGUUUUUUUGUUGUUGUUGUUGUUUUUAACCAAAAUGAGUGAAACCAAAUGAAAGGUGUCUGCCUACAAGCAAUGCACUGGAGUAAUUAUGGUCCCUGCACUGAGACUCAAGCAAAUAUUUCUGAGGCAGUUUCUGAAUUUUGCAAACCAUCUGUCUGCCUUUACCUCUGCCAGCACCACAGAGAUGGGGCACCUCAGCCUAAGAGCAGUCAGGGCAGCUAUGGGUGCUGCUGCACCAAAUCUCCAUAGCCAGUCAUUGGGCCACUUGUGAGUGUGGAAACAGCAUUUUCUGUCCAUCCGUCCAUGUGGUCAGAGGUGAGUCCUAGACAUACUGUGACAUAACAGCAUGUUCUUCCUCUAGGGCAAGAGCUGCAGCUGAAUUCAUCAGUAGGAAUGGGAUGUGAGGGACUUCCCCAGGUGGACUGCACUGGGGAUUCACUUCCAAGUGGGAUACCACAUUGGGUGCUAACGAUGCCAUUGACACCUACUCCCGCUCUAACCUGAUCACCUCUGGUCGGGUCCAGCUGGCCCUUUGAAGAUAUCUCCUCACCCAGUGUUAACCCCAGCUUGUUUUUCUCCCUGCUUCUUGGUUCACCAGUGGUGGCACAAGCCAGAGCUCCUGGCUGGGUCUCUGCAGGGCACACUGGUUUGAGGAGGAACAGAAGAGAGCUCUGGGACAUCUGGUACUUUAGACUGAGGAAGAGCACUCAUUUGGAUGGAGGGUUUGGUGCUGUAAAGCAGGUGAACUGGCUAAGCUUCUUCUGGAAGGUGCUGGGCUGCCAGGAGCUCCCCAGAGCAGGGGCAAGAAAGAUGUCCCUCAGCGGGUACUGGGGUAUCAUCAUGCAAACAGCUGGCUAGGUGAGUUAGAGAAGGUAUCUCAUCUCUUACCUAUUUCUCACUGGAAGCAGAAAGUGCAGAAGCCAAGUCUGUAAUUUCCCAGAUGGAUAUGUCUUCUAUAGGACCUCUUUCUUCCAUGAAAAGGAGGAGAUGCCUCCAGAUAUCCUCUGACACAUACAACUACUUUGUACCAGACAAAGUAAUUGGCUGGAGUCAACCUGGGCCCUCAGUAAAACAAGUGUGGGUUCGGGAAGUCAAAAGAGUUUGAGAGCUCCUGCCUCUGUCCUAUGGCAUUCCUGUGGUGGAAAAUCCCACAGUGAGGGGAGCUGUGGGCAGGAAAGUGGAGCACAGCCAUCCUGCUGCUUUCUGAAGGCAUCUAUCAGGUUGUGCAGGCAUAGCCAGGUCUCUAGCAUCCCUGUCUCUGCUCUUAGGUGUCAAUUUCUAUCAGACACUGGAAAUCCUGAGUAUAUUUCCAAGAAGAUGGGCAGAGUCAUUUGAUUGACCAUUGUGCUGGUCACACAGAAGAGAAGAAUGACCAUUCUUGCUCACAGGCUUAAAACCCACCUGCAUUCAUAUCUCCUCUAAGCGCUGCAAACAGCAAAGCAGAGAUGGUAACAGCCACUAAAGGAGGAAGGGCCACGUACAGAGAUGUUCACUUACCUCCAAAGGUCUUUACUCUCUUGGUCAAAGGCCCUGACUGCCUAUCUUCAGUUUGGGUAUCUUUAAAUUUAAUCUGUCCAUAUUCCUUUUGCAUAGCUCUUGGAUGAAAAGGUUUGGCUCUGUAAAACAAUAUUGCCAAGCUGCUACAUGAGGAAUGAGCCACACAUAGAAGGUAUGUAAGUACGUGCUUGUGAAAAAGCCAACAAACUCUUCCCUCGUAUGUGAUGAUGCCUUUUCCAUGUCUAGUGUUGUCUUAGCUUCGUUUUCAUUACUUCACACAUAAAAACAGAAGUUAAAGGAUGUGCAAAAUGUCACACAGUGAAGUAAAAUUAUUGGCUGAUCUAAGAACUUCCACCCCAACCAGAAGUCUUAUCUUCCAAGCUUUGAAUCUGUGUCAGAACCAAUUAUUUUAACGUAGAUUUUUUAAAUAUAUAUGGUAGCAUCUUAAGGCUUUGUCAAUAUAUUUAAAGUUGUUCUACAAUAUAUACAGUAAUUGCUUUUCUAUGAGGACCGAGAUACAUGAAAGAUUCAAAAGAUAGAGGACUUUUCAUUGAUGGCAACUUUUAAAAAAAUAAAAGCUGGAUUAUUACAUGAAGGAGAUAAAAGGCCAUGAAAUAGAUAUUAAGGCCAUGAAGUAGAUAUUUUUACUCUAGCAUAAGAGAGGAUUUUUAGCUUCUAAAUAUGCAGAGACACUAUAUCAACUAUCACAAAUGUGUGCCGGUGAUGCAUCCAACAACACUUAAUUAUCAGUUCUACAGGAAAAUUAGGUGAGAAAAUUACUUGUCUUUUUGUAUUUAUUUUAGUUAUAAAAACCCAAAGAUGAUGACACUUCUCUCACUACAGCAUGUUAGACAUAGAUGGCUUGCCUGUCUUAUUUUUCCCCCUUGGUGAUGCAGAUUGAUAAUUCCUGCAGUGGGCUCAGUUUAAUUUGUUACUUUUUACAAAUGCAUAUUGUGCAGUUUUAAAGACAGCUGUCUUCAAAAUGGGUAGACAUUAAGCAGUUUCAUUUUUUGUGGUGUCUUAGAUCAGAAAUGUUUGAGAUGGAAGAAACUGAUCUGGUCCACUACCUCGACCUUCUUUGCAAUGGUUCUGGCAUGCAUCUGUCAACAUGGCUGACGUAGCUACACAGGAAUAUGGUGGGAAAAGUCUUGGCUAGAAAAAUCUUACUGCACACAUAUGAUGAAAGAGAAGGGAAAGGCAAUGUUGGAAGAGAACGACUUGUUCCCAGCAGUCAGCAAAGUCUCCAGCCAUAUUACAGCGGUGGCAGCUGCCUCUUCCCCAGUGGUAAGGGGGAGUGCCCCUGAGAGCAUGGCAUUACAAGGAGAACAGGUCUCAUGUGAUGUCCUUUUGAGGGCAGAUUUGGUUGUCCCUCAUGUAAAAUACAAACAGCAAUGGAUAAGCAAGAGCAUGGCAUUCACAGGGAGGAAGCUGAAGUAGUUGGUAUAUCAAUUAGAAGGAACAUGUUAAAUUGCUCUUGAUUUCCAUCAGGUGCCAACCCAUUAAGAGAAUAUCUGGUGAAUUAAGACUGGAAAAGGUGAGAAAGAGGGAGAGGGGAAAAUCUGGCUGGGGAGGAAGCAGAAGGAAACCAAGCAUAGCCUGCCUCAGCGGUCUCCUUCCCAUCAGCCUUCCAGGCAGUUGGGCAGGCUUGCUCAUGUGCCAGGCUGCUAUUCCUCGUGGGGACACCUGGUAUCCCACCCAGCCGUAGGGUCAUUUCCAGCUAGACUCCUUCCCCUGGCUCAGGGACAUACUGGGCCACGUGCAACACACUGAGACUUUAGUAAGUGCUCUGUGUAGCACUGGUGCAGGUGGGCAAAGCAAUGGCAUGGGAACACCAGUGCACACAUCUGCUUCUGCUAUAGCAGUGAGCUGCUGCUUCCCGUGCCACAUCCCAGUAUGUGGAGAAGACUGUGGAAGGAAAGGGAUUGGUGCAUAGUGAGCAGCCAGGAAAGGCAGGUGUGAGAUACAGCAGGUAGCUUCAGGUGCAGAUACGUUCAUUUCUUCAUUUUUUUUUUUCUUGAUAAUUUGAUAAUAAACAUGCGAGCUGGAUUUGGUAUUGCCACUAGUGCUGGCACAUCCAGCCAAUUUCUGUAUUUUCUAGGAGUGUGCAUGCCAUUACAGCCAAGGAAAUCGUGCUCUCCUGGGACUCGGAUUGAGCAGUGUCUAAUAAAAGGCCUGAUGAAGAGAAACUUCUGCAAGAUUUAUUUUCCCCUGGGAAAUUAACCAUUGUAUACCACAGCACACAUGGCAUAUGGCUGCCUGUCCAUGGGAGCACUGCAUCCAACUUCUGAUUCAGCAAAAUACUGGAAGUGGUGUUGUGAUAAAUAGGGCUUAAACAGAGGUAUAAAGUUUGACAUGGCCUUAACAGGCCAUUUCGGCAUUGAUAAAUGUAAAACACAAAGAUUUAUAUUGUGACUCAGAGCUAGAUUUUUCUCAUACAAGCAAUGGAUUAAAAGUGAUCAGUUACUGAGUCUGAUUGCCAGACUAAUUCAAUUUAUUUUAUGUGUAUAUUAUGCUAUCUCUUCACCUUCUGAAUGUUAUGUGAAAAUAAGAAAAGGUAGGCAUAGAAUAGAAUCACAGAAUGAGUUGGGGACCUUGAAGUCCACCUGGUUCCAACCCCAUUGCUGUGGACAGCGUUGCCUCCCACUUCAUCAUGCUCAGGGUCCCAUCCAGCCUGGCCUUGAACUCAUCCAGGGAUGGAGCAUCCAUAGCUUCUCAGAGCAACCUGUUGCAGUAUCUCACCACUCUUAGAGUAAACAGUUUCUCCCUAACAUCUAACCCAAAUUUCUCCUCUUUCAUUAUAAACCCAUUUCCCCUUGUCCUAUCAUUAUCGGACCAUGUAAAAAAUUGGUCCCACUCCUGAUUAUAAGCUCCCAUCGAGUAAUGAAAGGCUGCAAUGAGGUCUCCCCAAAGCCUUCUCUUCUCCAGUUUGAGUAAGUCCAAUUCCCUCAGCCUGUCUUCACAGGAGAGGUGCUCCAGCUCUCUGAUCAUCUCAG
Gallus gallus (chicken) is the source of this 6897-nucleotide long non-coding RNA. RefSeq lists it as uncharacterized. The transcript has 8 exons. NCBI's taxonomy places the organism in Eukaryota, Metazoa, Chordata, Aves, Galliformes, Phasianidae. The record is from RefSeq and is a predicted model, not a curated record.